This 492-nucleotide ribosomal RNA is filed under the name uncultured bacterium. Its description in RNAcentral is "partial 16S ribosomal RNA". It matches the Rfam family "Bacterial small subunit ribosomal RNA", at positions 30 to 507 of the family's 1533-position model. The record is from RNAcentral.
AGUGAACGCUGGCGGUAGGCUUAACACAUGCAAGUCGAACGGCAGCACAGUAAGAGCUUGCGCUUACGGGGGGGGAGUGGCGGACGGGUGAGGAAUAUAUCGUAAUCUACUUUUUCGGGGGGGAUAAGGUAGGGAAACUUACUCUAAUACCGCAUACGACCUACGGGUGAAAGCAGUGGAACGUUGGAGCGUGCGCGGAUGAAUGAGCGGAUGUCGGAUUAGCUGGUUGGCGGGGUAAAGGCCCACGAAGGCGACGAUCCGCAGCUGGUCUGGGAGGAUGGUCGGCCGCACUAGAAGGGGGCCACGGUCCAGGCGCCUGCGGGACGCCGCAGUGGCGAAUAUUGGGCAAUGGGCGCGAACCUGGUACAGCCAUACCGCGUGGGUGAAGGCGGCCUUCGGGUUGUGAAGCCCUUUUGUUGGGAAAGAAAAGCAGCAGGUUAAUACCACGCUGUUCUGACGGUACCCAAAGAAUAAGCACCGGCUAACUUCGUG